UGGGGAAUUGUUCGCAAUGGGCGCAAGCCUGACGACGCAACGCCGCGUGGAGGAUGAAGAUUUUCGGGUUGUAAAGCACUUUCGGUGGGGACAAACAAGGCGGAGCUAACAUCUCCGUCCCUGAUGGUACCCAAAGAAGAAGCACCGGCUAACUCUGUGCCAGCAGCCGCGGUAAUACAGAGGGUGCAAGCGUUAAUCGGAAUUACUGGGCGUAAAGCGUGCGUAGGUGGUUUGUUAAGUCAGGUGUGAAAUCCCGGGGCUCAACCUCGAAAUUGCGCUUGAUACUGGCAGACUCGAGUGUGGUAGAGGAUAGUGGAAUUCCCGGUGUAGCGGUGAAAUGCGUAGAUAUCGGGAGGAACAUCAGUGGCGAAGGCGGCUAUCUGGACUAACACUGACACUGAGGUACGAAAGCGUGGGUAGCAAACAGGAUUAGAUACCCAAGUAGUCCCUGAGCGGGCUGGCAAGGCGCAU
This 471-nucleotide ribosomal RNA is filed under the name uncultured bacterium. Its description in RNAcentral is "bacterial SSU rRNA". It matches the Rfam family "Bacterial small subunit ribosomal RNA", at positions 355 to 825 of the family's 1533-position model. The record is from RNAcentral.